AUCAAACUUCUUUCACGUGUCUUGAGAAUCUAAAUUUUCAUAUCUGUCUUUUAUUAAAUGAACGGUCAUGAUGAAAGUUUGUAUAAUCUGAUCCAACGCUCCUAAGCUGCCCACUUGUUUCAUUCAAGACAUGAGAAAAGGAAGAUAUACAGCUUUCUGUCUUUGACACAGAACACAGGUUGGAAAAUAUCGCCUCUUUCCCUUUCUUCUCUACACAAUCAGCAUCACAAUCAGAGCAUAGAUUAUCACUACUUCCAACAAAUUUUGAAUCUUGGUGUAAUGGUUUCUAUCGAGCUAACUUUUCAAUUAUUACCUUUAGCGUGUUCUAUUCUUUUUCAAAAUAUUUCUUCAUCUAUAAGUACAACACCCCCUUCAAGAUGGAGGGGAGUGAAGUGACCCCCAUCUUUCUAAGAAUCAAUUUGUGGGAAGGACCAGAUAAAGGCUUAGUAAAGAUGUCAGCAACUUGAGAUGAAGAAGGAACAAAAGUCAUAGAAAUCAAGCCGGAGAGAUAUUGUUGCUGGACGAAGUGACAUUCGAGCUCGACGUGCUUCGUUCGCUCAUGAAAUACCGAAUUUCAAGCAAUAUGAAAAGCUGCAUGACUAUCAGAGUGAAGUGGAAUCAGAAGAACAGGUUGAGCAGAGAGAUCGUGGAGGAUACGAUUUAACCAAGUCAACUCAGCAAUGAGGCGUUCAUGGAGCGAUACUCGGCAUUAGAAGAAGAAAGCGAAGCAGAGACCUGCUUUUUGUAUUUCCAAGAGAUUGAAGAGCCACCAAGGCUAAUGAAAUAGCCACUAACAGAUGGACGAGAAUCAAUACACGAGGCCCAGCCAGCAUCACAAAAAUCUAGGAGUGAAAAUGAAGAAUCUACUGACAUGAACAAUCCUAGACCGGGAUCUGUGCGAAGAUAGCGUAUGACACGAAGAGCAGUAGAAAAAUGGGGGUAGACGAGGACUAUGCAUGAAUUGAGACAUGUGUUGUAUGACGAAAGACAAAUUCGGCCGAGUAUGGGUCAAAUAACUAAGCUUUCCAAUAAGUCGUCAAUAACAAGAAGGAUCUGCAAGUAAUUCUCCAGAAUCAACUGAAAGUUUACAAGAAGGGUCCAGGGGAGAAGACACUGAUGUCAAAUGAGCACAAUUGAACUCAGAGAUAAGAUCAAGAGUGAAUUUUCAUUGAGAAACAAUGAGCCCUUGCUGUUCACGAGGACUUCCAAGCCGAGGAAGUAAUGUAAGUCUCCAAGAUCCCUAAUUUUGAAUUCUUCAUGUAAAAAUUCCUUCAACUGGGAAAGUUCUGUAGGAUUGUUACCUGUAAGUAGAAUAUCAUCGACAUAAACUGCUACAAUA
Molecule: long non-coding RNA, 1339 nt
Filed under: Nicotiana benthamiana
Lineage: Eukaryota; Viridiplantae; Streptophyta; Magnoliopsida; Solanales; Solanaceae
Description: long non-coding RNA (NBEN_LNC040799)
Source: RNAcentral